AGUAUAUCUUCACUUUCCACUUUAUCAUCAACUAUUUGCUCUCUCUUUAUUUUGUGUUAUCUGCUUCAUAUUAUACCCAUUUUUCUGCAUUCUGCUACGAGUUUGAAUUUCUUCAUGCUUUUUGGAUAAUACAUGAUGUAACAGUAGUUAGUUCAUCAGAUGAAAACGUACUCUCAAAAUGCAAAAUACAUGUUCGUUCAAAUAUUGAAAGAUUACAAGAUUACAAGAAAAUAAAUGAUUAGGGAGAAAAGUCUUGCGGUUGUUUCAUAACCUGCAAGCAGAAGGUCUAGUAAAAUGCUCACUUUCUCCACAUCACUUAAAUCUCCUUUCAUUAAAUAAAAUCUCAUCAAAGUGGUCGUCUUUGGCUGGACCAUUUAGUACUUCCAUGUCUUUUUCAUGUUCCCUGGCUUUUAAUAUUUGUUUCAAGAUAGAUGAAAUCCUGUCAUACUAUGGUAGCAUAUUAGUUAUCAGAAAUAGCUUUCUCUGCAUGGUUAACGAAGUAUACUUAUGACUUUAAGUAUACCUGUGAAUUCUAUUGAAGUUAAGUAUCAAAUUAUUCCAAUCAGCUACUUACAUACCGUAGAUCUUCACCCUUGGUAACAGUACUGCAGCGAUGUGUUCCAAAUCCAGCUCCAUCCAUUCCAAAACCACCCAUAGAAGGCCCAAAUCUAUCCAUUACAUUAUUACUUGAACUAAUACCUUUUCUUCUUUUUAAGUGGUGGGAGGUAUGUCAAAGUUUCUGAUAUUACCUGUGGUGUGCCAUUCAACACAAGUGAAAAGAACUCUUUUCCCGUUUAAAAUUGAAUGACGCCAAAGAAUUCUGUGAACCUCGUCAAUUCAUAACAUAAUACAUUUUCCUAUUCAAGUGCGGAUGGAAAAAAGAAAAGGCAAAAAAUAAGCACUUACGGUGGCGGGGAAGACAAUUACUGGCAAUCUAUAGUACCCAAACUUGCAGAUAAUGCUUAGGUAAGCUAUAGUACUAGAAUAUAAUUGAACUUCCUGCUAAAUGAGGUGGCACACCUAAAAGUCACCAGGGAAAUAACUAAUGAGUCUAAAGGUGGGAAGAAGUUUAGUAGUAAAUCUUCACUCUACGAAGCACUCCUCGGCUACAGUAUUGAAGAUGUUCGACCAAACGGUGGAAUCAAGAAGUUUAGAUCUGCUGCUUACUCCAACUGCGCGCGCAAACCCUCCUGACAUUCUUUAAGCUUCUAUCUAGUGCGUCUCUUGGUGCAAAAAAUUCCAAAAAAAAAUUCUUCUGUCAAUUAGGUCGUGUUAAACCCUCGCUCCUUUUUUCCUCUCCUUCGGCUGCUUUCUACAUUUCCUCUCCUUGGUUGCGAACAAUUUCCUUUAAAAGAUCAUUAGUUUCUGUGAACAUUUUUUCGACAUGGAAGUGGUAUUGCCAGUUUCUUCCAUAGGUUAUGAAGGCUAUCAGAAGAGGCUUGAAAUUUCAUUUUUUGAGCCUGGCAGCCUGGCCUUUUUGCUGAUCCUGAAGGAAAAGGACUUCAGUCACAUUCAAAAGCACAAUUGGAUGAGUUCCUAGGACCUGCUGAGUGCAUCAUAAUUGACUCUCUUUCUAAUGAGUGGGUUGACUUCUAUCUCCCCUCUGAGUCGAGCCUUUUCAUUUAUCUUUACAAGAUAAUCAUCAAGACCUGUGGCACCUCAAAGUUGCUUCAUUCAAUUCCGGCCAUCUUGAAGUUGGCUGAUACUCUUUCACUCAAAGUACAAGCUGUGAAGUAUUCCCGUGGGAGCUUCAUUUUCCCGGGGGCCCAAUUAUUUCCUCAUCGUCACUGCUCUGAAGAAGUUUCCAUCCUUGAUACCUACUUUGGAAAGUUUAGUUCAGGCAGCAAAGCUUUGAUUUUGGACAGUCCUGAGAAACCUCAAAAAUGGCAUGUUUACUCUGCCUUGGCUGGACCUAUUCAGACUAAGAACCCUGUCUACACUCUUGAGAUGUUCGUGACUAAUUUGGAUAGGAAGAAGGCUUCUGUCUUUUACAAGAGUGAAUCAAGCUCGGUAGCUCAAAUGACAACUGAAUCUGUCACAAGGAAGAUCCUCCCUUACUCUGAUAUAUGCGAUUUUGAGCUUGAUCCUUGUGGUUAUUCCAUGAAUUCUAUUAAAGGAGCUGCGCUUUCUACUAUUCAUGUUACACCAGAAGAUGGUUUUAGUUAUGCUAGCUUUGAAGCGGUUCGGUAUGAUUUGAACCUAAGUUGCUCGGACUCUUCAAAAAUGUCUACGGCUGUGUGUUGGAUUCUUCAAAAAUAAUGUAUUUUUGAGGGAUCCGACACGGGUGCGGCAAUAUUUUUGGGGAGUCUGUGCAACUUAGAUUUGAAUCCUCAAGUCUCACAAGUCACACCACUGGUCAAGAGGGUGCUGACAUGUUUCCUGACUGAUGAGUUUUCUUUUGCUUUGCAUGCUGAUGAUGUUGCUUGUGAGCUACUGGAGCAUAUUUGCUCUAUUGAUGUGAAGGGCUACUCUCUUGCUGAGUGGAGCCCAGAAGAACUUGGUAAUGGAGGUUCUAUUGUCUACCAGAAAUUUGCUAGGAGUUCCUUUUGUGGGUCUCCAGGAUCUGUUAUGCAGGAGUAGCAGGACUGCUGUUAAGAGGAGGAGAAAGGAGAAAAGGAGUUGUGUUGAGGGUCGCUAGCUCAAUUGCUGGUGUUGUUUGCAGAUGUUUUAUGAUGUUCGGUUGUUGUCCUCCUUAGUUCUCUAAAUAAUGGGCUUCAUGCCCUUAGAAUUAGUAAUGAAAAUUGUGGACUUAAUCUGGCUUUUUGGUGUUCUACCUGAAGUCCUAUUGCUUGUAUAUUGGAUUAUUACUGCAUUUGGUUUUUCUCAGACUCGUUUGUUAUUUGUUUUUUCUUUAGUAAGAGUGUGUUGUUCACACAACUUAAGAUUUAUUUUCAUUAGUAAGAGUGUGUUGUUCACCAAGCCAAUUGUGAACAUUUCAUUUAUGUUCAUUGUUUAAACUUUUGUUUUGGUGCUGGUCGUUAGCUACUUCAGAUUUACUUCCAAGCCCUUGCAUAAUUAGAGAAGCAUGAACUAAACAUAUGUUAUCUCUGCACAUCUUCUCUUGUGUUAUAUAGGAGUAACUUCUAGUUAAGCAUGAACUAAACAUGCGAUAUCUCUGCACAUCUUCUCUUUUGUUAUAUAGGAGUAACUUCUAGUUAUUGUCUUUUCACGUUGUAUCAACUUGUUUCUCUUUGUAUCUUGAAUCCUUCAUUUUUAGUUGUUUCAAAAUUGGUUGCAGUCGUUCUGUUUAUGUGUAACAGAUAACAUGACAUUCCAUUGAUGUUUCUGCAGGGAAAUGGAGAAGGCAAAGCCAAA
This is an RNA transcript of Capsicum annuum, 3315 nucleotides long. It is a transcript of the gene named S-adenosylmethionine decarboxylase proenzyme, with no coding region annotated. The record is from RefSeq and is a predicted model, not a curated record. NCBI's taxonomy places the organism in Eukaryota, Viridiplantae, Streptophyta, Magnoliopsida, Solanales, Solanaceae. The transcript is spliced from 2 exons.